UACGAAGGGGGCUAGCGUUGCUCGGAAUUACUGGGCGUAAAGCGCACGUAGGCGGCUUUGUAAGUUAGAGGUGAAAGCCCGGGGCUCAACCCCGGAAUUGCCUUUAAGACUGCAUCGCUUGAAUCCGGGAGAGGUGAGUGGAAUUCCGAGUGUAGAGGUGAAAGUUCGUAGAUAUUCGGAAGAACACCAGUGGCGAAGGCGGCGUCACUGGACCGGUAUUGACGCUGAGGUGCGAAAGCGUGGGGAGCAAACAG
RNAcentral lists this ribosomal RNA (254 nucleotides) under uncultured bacterium. RNAcentral describes it as "partial 16S ribosomal RNA". It matches the Rfam family "Bacterial small subunit ribosomal RNA", at positions 524 to 775 of the family's 1533-position model. The record is from RNAcentral.